UACGUAGGGCGCAAGCGUUGUCCGGAAUUAUUGGGCGUAAAGAGCUCGUAGGCGGCUUGUCACGUCUGCUGUGAAAUCCCGGGGCUCAACCCCGGGCGUGCAGUGGAUACGGGCUGGCUAGAGGCAGGCAGGGGAGAACGGAAUUCCCGGUGUAGCGGUGAAAUGCGCAGAUAUCGGGAGGAACACCGGUGGCGAAGGCGGUUCUCUGGGCCUGUACUGACGCUGAGACGCGAAAGCGUGGGGAGCGAACAGG
This 253-nucleotide ribosomal RNA is filed under the name uncultured bacterium. Its description in RNAcentral is "partial 16S ribosomal RNA". It matches the Rfam family "Bacterial small subunit ribosomal RNA", at positions 524 to 776 of the family's 1533-position model. The record is from RNAcentral.